UUGAACGCUGGCGGCAGGCCUAACACAUGCAAGUCGAGCGGAUGAAGGGAGCUUGCUCCUGGAUUCAGCGGCGGACGGGUGAGUAAUGCCUAGGAAUCUGCCUGGUAGUGGGGGAUAACGUCCGGAAACGGGCGCUAAUACCGCAUACGCCCUGAGGGAGAAAGUGGGGGAUCUUCGGACCUCACGCUAUCAGAUGAGCCUAGGUCGGAUUAGCUAGUUGGUGGGGUAAAGGCCUACCAAGGCGACGAUCCGUAACUGGUCUGAGAGGAUGAUCAGUCACACUGGAACUGAGACACGGUCCAGACUCCUACGGGAGGCAGCAGUGGGGAAUAUUGGACAAUGGGCGAAAGCCUGAUCCAGCCAUGCCGCGUGUGUGAAGAAGGUCUUCGGAUUGUAAAGCACUUUAAGUUGGGAGGAAGGGCAGUAAGUUAAUACCUUGCUGUUUUGACGUUACCAACAGAAUAAGCACCGGCUAACUUCGUG
This 483-nucleotide ribosomal RNA is filed under the name uncultured bacterium. RNAcentral describes it as "partial 16S ribosomal RNA". It matches the Rfam family "Bacterial small subunit ribosomal RNA", at positions 30 to 507 of the family's 1533-position model. The record is from RNAcentral.